GUGCCAUUUAAAAACAAAAGUGACAAAUUGAAGGCACUGGCCCGCCCUCCAAGCAAUAAUCCCAAGCGAUAUGACUCAACAAACCCCAGUGUCAAAGGCUACAAUGGGACUGGGUGACUUAACACCCAGUGGUGUAGAGGCUACAGGUACCAGAAUCUGAAGUCAAAACCAGAAUUCAAACCUUGGGCUCCUCAUUGGAGACAAGAUGGGACUCUCAUCAAGAUGCCUGCAGGCCAUGCUCCCACUGACAUCUCUGGGGAAGAGCCCCUCUUUGCAGGUUUGUCGGUGACUCUAUUGAGAACAGCUGUUCUAAGUCUUCUGAAGCCCGGAUUAAUGCAUUCUUUGAGGAUGUGGCCACUGGUAGGAUUCCCAUGCCAUGGUGGAUGGCCCACACCCACGCACAUAUGCAGUAACUGGACUCAGUGGGUUAUCUAGAAGAAGAGAAAAGAAGAGGAGGAAGAAGAGAAAAUGAUGACAUCAAGAUGCAGG
Molecule: long non-coding RNA, 489 nt
Filed under: Cricetulus griseus (Chinese hamster)
Lineage: Eukaryota; Metazoa; Chordata; Mammalia; Rodentia; Cricetidae
Description: lncRNA (ENSCGRG00015035091.1)
Source: RNAcentral